UACGAAGGGGGCUAGCGUUGCUCGGAAUUACUGGGCGUAAAGGGCGCGUAGGCGGCGCAUUUAGUCAGGCGUGAAAGCCCUGGGCUCAACCUGGGGACUGCGCUUGAGACGGGUGUGCUGGAGGACGGAAGAGGGUCGCGGAAUUCCCAGUGUAGAGGUGAAAUUCGUAGAUAUUGGGAAGAACACCGGUGGCGAAGGCGGCGACCUGGUCCGUUACUGACGCUGAGGCGCGACAGCGUGGGGAGCAAACAGG
This 253-nucleotide ribosomal RNA is filed under the name uncultured bacterium. RNAcentral describes it as "partial 16S ribosomal RNA". It matches the Rfam family "Bacterial small subunit ribosomal RNA", at positions 524 to 776 of the family's 1533-position model. The record is from RNAcentral.